CAUAUUUAUCACCACAAACAUGUUCGAAUUCCUGCCAAAUAACAACCUUCCUUUGGGCCGGUGUUAAACGCAUGGAAUACUAACAUACACAGUCAUCUAAUACUUCAAAAUCAAUCAAUCUACACAAAAGAGGUUACUUUAGUAAAAUAAUGUUUCAAUUGACCAAUUUAAAAUAUUAGAUGCAAAACUAAUUAGUUCUUUAAG
Molecule: long non-coding RNA, 204 nt
Filed under: Nicotiana benthamiana
Lineage: Eukaryota; Viridiplantae; Streptophyta; Magnoliopsida; Solanales; Solanaceae
Description: long non-coding RNA (NBEN_LNC010906)
Source: RNAcentral